This is a long non-coding RNA of Beta vulgaris subsp. vulgaris (sugar beet), 756 nucleotides long. RefSeq lists it as uncharacterized. The transcript is spliced from 2 exons. NCBI's taxonomy places the organism in Eukaryota, Viridiplantae, Streptophyta, Magnoliopsida, Caryophyllales, Amaranthaceae. The record is from RefSeq and is a predicted model, not a curated record.
UAUCCCUACCUGUACCUAAUCCGUUAAGGUUCCAGGUCGAGUUAGGUCAACGGAUAUUUAAUUUUAGGUUGAAAAUCUCAACUCAAACCCAAAAAUUUUGAGUUAGGUUCAAAUCGAUUUAUCAGCUAGGUUGGGUAAAUAUGUCAACCCUAUCAAACACCGUCAUGAAGCGAAGCAUUAUACUAUUCAAGUCAUUUUAUCUAGUUGUCUCUCAGUCUCGCAGGCAGCACGCCGCACAUCAUAAUCAUAGUGUCCAAGUAGCUAGCAACCAACAAAAAACAAGUUGCCUUAAUAAUAAAUAUUAUUAACAAUUAAAAUCUAAAAUAAAUGUGUGCAUAAGUUGAAUUUUUCAAUUCCAUGGCUCUAUAUAAACGCAUAUGUUAGAAGAUAAACACAAGCCAAAAAAAAAAAAAAAAAAACAAGAUCUUGAAGCUCUUCGAUCAAUCUUCAUAACCGGAAGAAAGGGUAAAAUCUUGAUUCACCAUGACCAAUAAAUCUGAAGAAGCAUCAGUAAAGUCUAAACAUCAAGGCCAUGAUAAUAGCAACCGAGUUAGUGAAGCAAUCGUAGUCCCACAAAAGAAAAAGGGCAGAAAACGUAAAGUUCUUUGGAAAGUCUCAAAAUGUUUUGUUAGACAUGCAAUGUACCAUGCUUUGGGGAUGCCUCAUAUGAGUGUCAUUGAUGUCGCUAGCUAUCUAUUCUGAUCGACUGGUUGUGUGGCAAUAAUGUACUACUACUAAGUAGUAGUAUUUGGUCAA